UUUUUUUGGGUCUACUUCUGAGGAAGUAGUUUUUCACUGUUUAGAAUUUAAAGACAAUUGGUGGAAUCCAGAAAUUAGGCAAAUGCCAACUGGAAAAGGAAGUUUGAGCUUGAGUUUUUAGAACAAUUUGAACCAGAUACUGAUUUUUUUUUCUGCUUUACAUACUGAAAUACCUAUACAUUUAUAUUGUUUUGAGUUAUUUGUGGCUUUUCAAGCUACUUGUAUUUGCCAUGUGAUGGGAAGAUAAAUUUGCCAUAGAAUAGGAAGAUUAAAUGUUCAUUCUGCAUUUCACUAAAUUAAUAAUUUAAUUAAAUGAGUUAUUAGCCCCAGGGCAUGAAAGAGUUCUUCUAAGUACAUUAAAUAUGUAACAUUUAGCAACUAUUAAAUUACUAAUCCUCAUCGUUAAUUUAUAGAAUCUUGGAUUUUAACCUUUUUGCUAAACUGUUUCAGUUGAAAGGAUUUCUCUAUAGGAACUGGGUGAUAAAACUGUAACAGGGUGGGAAUAUAUUUCUAUUGUUUUCAGAGGAAGUUAAAAUGUAAGAGGUCUAAAUGUUCAAAUAACUCAAAACCUUUAGUAAAACUCUGGGUAAAAGAAAUAAAUGUAUUGAACUUAUUUUUUUUUCAGUUUUCAUUUCCAUGUUCGCCUCAGGCUAAAAAUUCAAUUUUAAUUUUACAAUGUUUGUUUCUAUUCAAAACUUAUGGUAGAAAUGAAUAUACUUAGACCUAGAGGUUGAAUAUAUAUUAAGGUAGUCUAUUUUAAUUUUAGUAUGAAUUUUUCAAUUGCAUUUCUCAGCAAUUUAGACCUUGGUUAUAACAUUGCCAUGAUAUUCAGCAUCUAGGACUUGAUGAUUUUCAUUAAGAUUUUGAUCAGCUGUCCUGUAAGGGAAAGUGUUUCGGAUAGCUGAGUGUUUCACUUUAAUCCCACAUCAGUGUGCUAGGACAGGCACCUCACUUUAUUGUGCCUUGCUUUGCUGCGCUUCAUGGAUAAUUGCAUUUGUUAGAAACUGAAGGUUUGUGGCAACCCUGUGUUGAGCAAGUCUAUUGGUGCCAUUUUUCCUGUAGCAUUUGCUCACUUCUUGACUUUGUGACCCAUUUUGUUAAUUAUUGCAAUAUUUAAAACUUUUCAUUUUUAUUAUGUUUCAUAAUCUGUUAUCAUUUAUUAUAUUUGUUGACAGCUAUUUUCUUAAUGUGAUUAAAAACAUAUAACUAAGUCAACAGUCAGCUUUUUGGCUCCAUUUCCAUUAGGCAUAUUAUAUAUGAAUUCUGGUGGCUUAUGUAGUCCGUGAAAUUGGGGAAGGACCUCAGAUUUUCAGUCUAUUUUGGAUGCUCCUUCUGGUCUAAGCCCAUGUCCAUGUAAUUGUGUGGUUUAAUAUCAUGACUGCAAUGUUUUUGAUUCCCCUACUAUUCAGAGGUAGAGUUUAUGUGCCCUUCCCUUUUAUUUGCUCUGGCUUGUGGCUACUUCUACCAGUAAACAGUAAAAGCGACACUAGGUGAUAUCUGAGCCUAGAUUAUAAAAGACUAUGCUGCUAGUGCUUUGUUCACUCCUGGAUAGUGUUUGGUGAUACUGACGUGGCUGUCCUGAAAGGUCCCCUGCAGGGCUCUGCUCAACAGACCGGCUACUCUGGUUCUUCAAGCCAUCCUUGUCUGGGCACUUGUGCAUGAAGGCUUCAUGGGUAUGAAGCCAUCCUGGACUGUGCAGGACAGUCCAUUUGCCAUCUGAGUACUACUGAGUUAUGGUUGCCAACCGGACAUGGAGCAGAGGUCACCCAGUUGAUGCCUAUCUAAAUUCUAGACCCACAAAAUCUUCAGAUCUAGUGCAAUGGCUUUUGUCUUAAAGUCAACAACAUUUUAAGGUUUGGGGAUAGUUUGUUAAUGUAACAAUGGAUGACAACGACUCUUCAUAUCAUAUUAGAAGUUACCUUUCAUCCCCUCAACAUCAAAAUUUGGCCUUGAGGAUCCUGGCUGAAACUCUAAAACUCAGGAUGCUCAGUUCCUUUCUGGGGUCUAAGGAACCAGCCUGUAACCCAGACCUCCAGCUGCUGAAGCCCCCAACAGUUUCGCAGGAAGGGCCACAUUCUUUUCAUCCUCAGAGAAAAACUUAUUUCCUCUAACAUUUCUCAGAAACAAAGUUAGCUCUUCUCUAGCAAAGGAAUCCAGAACCUAAGGACUUUAAGACGAACUAUCUUGCUUAAACAAGAAAAGGGGAAAUUUCUUAUGUAUCUGUGAGGGAAAAACAGUAACAUCAAUAACCAACAAAACCUCUACCUCAAUCAAAAAAGAUGUCUUAAUCAGUGGUGAUAGAGAUGUGGUGUUUACAUUUCACCAAUUAAAAAAAAAUUGUAGGAGUUCCCAUUGUGGCUCAGUGGAUUAAGAAUCUGACAUAGUGUCUGUGAGGAUGUGGGGUUUGAUCCCUGGCCUCGCUCGUGGGUUAAGGAUCCAGCGUUGCUGCAAGAUGUGGCAUAGGUCACAAAUGUACCUUGGAUCCUGCAUUGCUGUGGAUAUGGUGUAGGCCUGCAGCUGCAGCUCCAAUUUGACCCCUAACCCGGAAACUUCCACAUGCUACAAGUGCAGCCAUAAAAAGGAAAAAAAAUGGUUACUUAUUUUACUACAGAGAAUCAGAGUUUUAUACUGUGUACUUUUUAGAAUCUAUUGAGAUGUUCUUAAUGUCCUAAGAUAUGAUCAAUUCUUUAAAUCUUCCAAGUGUUUACAGUAAAUAUAUAUCAGUAUAUUUUUAAAAUAGCUAUUAAUUAUAUUAUUGAAUUCUUCUGAUAAUAAUAAACAGUUGCCUAGUAUUUACCUUUGGUGAAGCACUGUUCUAGAAACUUUAGAUAAAUUAACUUUUCAUCCAUUUGUUUUAAAUCUACAUGCAUCUUUAAAUUUGAAGUGGAUUCCUUGUAAACAACGUGAAGUUGGCUCUUAUUUUUUGAUCCAUUCUGACAUUCUUUGUCUUUCAAUUUGUGCAUUUUCACCAUUGAUGUUCAAUAUGGCUAUUGAUAUCGUUGGAUGAAUAUCUGCCAUAUUUGCUAUUGUUUUGCAUUUGUUACCUUAGUUUUGUUCCUAUUUUCGUCUUCUACUGAUUUUCUGCCCUUUGUGAUUCCAUUUUCUCUCCACUCUUAGCAUAUCAAUUAUACUUAAAAAAUUUUUUUUUAGUGGUUGCCCUAGAAUUGUUAAUACACACUUACAACUAACCCAAGUCCACCUGUGAACAGCCUUUGAUAUUGCAAAGAUCUGGAAAAACUUUACUGCCUAAGGUAGUACAUGGGCUAUAUCAGUUUAUGAGCAAAGGUCUGGAGCCAUGGCCCCAUCUCUGGCUGCACAGCCUGGUUACCUGGGGAGCUGUUAGUCCCAUGGCCUUACCCAGACCUGCUGGAUCAGGGUGAAGAGGCUUAUGCAUAUGGUUAUCACCAGCAUUAAAAUAAUCAAACCCCAAAUCAUAGGACCAAUCUUGAGUGGCCCAUUAACACACUUUGAAAAUUCCUCUUAAAGCUUUCAUAAAUCCAUCUAAGGAACUGCGGCAGAAUAACCAUUUCUUCCUUCUUCCAUGCUCUUCUUUUCAUUAUGUAGAUCCAAGUUUCUGUCCUGUAUCACUUUCCUUCUCUCCAAAGAACUUCUUUAACAUUUCUUACAAGACUGGUCUACUGGCAACAAAUUCCCUCAAUAUUUGUUUGUCUGAGAAAUGCUUUGUUUCUCCUUUGCUUUUGAAGAAUAAUUUCAGAAGAUACAGAAUUCUAGGUUGCUGAUAUUUUCUUCUUUCAAUAUUUUAAAUAUUUCUCUCCCCUUUCUUCUUGCUGGCAUGGUUUCUGAGGAGAAGUCAGGUGUAAUUCUGAUCUUUAUUUCUCUGUAGAUGAGAUGUUUUUCUUCUCUGGCUACUUGCAGUAGAUUCUUGGGUGUUCUUAAUCUGUGAUUUUCUGUAAUUUGAAAAUGAUAUGCCUAGGUGUAGUUUCCUUGGCAUUUAUCCUGCUUGGUAUUCUCUGAGCUUCCUCAGGUAGAUUAACACUUAAAGUGGGGUAAGAACCCUCUGAGGUUGGAGAUGUUACAGCUCCCACAGUAAACUUGAUCAGUAAGCCUGAGGGAGUGAGAGGUUAAAUCACAUGGCUAGUAUGUGGUAAGGCAAGAGUUUGCACUCAGACAGUAUUUUUUUGUUUGUUUGUUUGUUUUCUUUUUCUAAAGGCCACCCCUGCAGCAUAUGGAAGUUCCUGGACUAGGGGUCAAAUUGGAGCUGCAGGUGAGGCAUAUGCCACAGCCAUGGCGAUGAUGGAUCUGAGCCACAUCUGUGAGCUGCACCACAGCUUGUGGCAACGCUGGAUCCUUAACCCACUGAGCAAGGCCAGGGAUCAAAUCCUUAUCCUCGUGGACACUAUGUCAGGUUCUUUAACUGCUGAGCCACAAUGGGAAUUCCUGGCAGUAUUAUUUAUAUUCUAAAGGCCCUUUGGUUUAUGUAGACUUUGUAUAAAGUCACCUCACAUUAUUUUGAGAGUUGUAGUAUGCCUUAUUAACAAAUGAGAACAAAAUGCUCACUUUAACCUCCGUUACCUCUCAAAUAGUACUUAAAAUAUUGCUAAAAUAUUUCUUCCCUCUCUGCUAUUCCUACUUAGUCUAUUUUUGCUUACUUUGUAGACAUUAUUAUUUGAAAAUCUCUCAGACUUUUUUUUUUUUUCUUUUUAGGGUGGCACCUGUGGCAUAUGGAGGUUCCUAGGCUAGGGGUCUGAUCAGAACUACCCCUGCUGGCCUGCACCACAGCCACAGCAAUGCCAGAUCUUAGCCACGUCUGUGACCUACAACACAGCUCAGGGCAAUGCUGGAUCCUUAACCCACUGAGAAAGGCCGAGGAACGAACCUGCAACCUCAUGGUUCCUGGUCAGAUUCAUUUCUACUGCAUCGUGAUGGGAAUGCUGAAAACCUCUCAGACUUUUAAGUAUGCUUUUGUAUUGGUGCAUUAUACAUAUUAUACAUAUUAUAAAUUUAUAUUAUUUAUUUGUUGUAUGAAUUUUUGUUAUUUAUUUAUUUAUUCCAAAUGUUUGGGAGUCAAAAAAUGACUAUGGUGCCAUAAAUACAAUUAUUUCAAUGAGCUGGUUUGAUUUGCCUUUUAAUCUGUGUUU
This 5099-nucleotide long non-coding RNA is filed under the name Sus scrofa (pig). Its description in RNAcentral is "lncRNA (ENSSSCG00015016250.1)". The record is from RNAcentral. Lineage: Eukaryota; Metazoa; Chordata; Mammalia; Artiodactyla; Suidae.